Molecule: transfer RNA, 615 nt
Filed under: Paracidovorax citrulli
Lineage: Bacteria; Pseudomonadati; Pseudomonadota; Betaproteobacteria; Burkholderiales; Comamonadaceae
Description: Acidovorax citrulli partial contains 16S ribosomal RNA, 16S-23S ribosomal RNA intergenic spacer, and 23S ribosomal RNA
Rfam family: tRNA (bases 93-166)
Source: RNAcentral
UGCGGCUGGAUCACCUCCUUUCUGGAAAACAGCAUUCAAUAUUGAACGCCCACACUUAUCGGUUGUUGGAAGAAGUCGGUGCUAACCGACAUGGGUCUGUAGCUCAGCUGGUUAGAGCACCGUCUUGAUAAGGCGGGGGUCGUUGGUUCGAGCCCAACUAGACCCACCAAAUCUUCCGAACAUAAGAUGCGAGGAUCAGUGGGGGAUUAGCUCAGCUGGGAGAGCACCUGCUUUGCAAGCAGGGGGUCGUCGGUUCGAUCCCGUCAUCCUCCACCAACCAAUACGCUCUGCGGUAGGGCGAAGAAACCAACACCAAAGCGGCUUCGCGAGAGGCCUCUUUGUUGUUGGUCCGGUAUAGACCGGAUCAAUCGGCUGUUCUUUAAAAAUUCAUAGAGUCGAAUCAGCGUUGCCGGCGGAAAGCAGGAAACUGCACCGUGCCGCCGGUGACAAAAAUUUGAUUGCGUCAAAACGAAUAUUCAAUUGAGCGAAAGCUUGUUGAAAUUCAGUAAUGACGAAUUGUUCUCUAGGUAGCAAUACCGAAGAAGAAUUCACAUUACGGCAUAACGCGCGAGGUGAAAGACCUCGCAAGUCCUUGAAAGAAAGCGGAGAUGUCUC